ACAACAUUCGGAAUGUCGGUCUACCGAGCAAUAUCACCCGCUCGUUGGAAGAUCUUCCCUUCGUCGU
RNAcentral lists this microRNA precursor (67 nucleotides) under Bombyx mori (domestic silkworm). RNAcentral's name for it is "mir-2774 microRNA precursor family". It matches the Rfam family "mir-2774 microRNA precursor family". The record is from Rfam by way of RNAcentral. Lineage: Eukaryota; Metazoa; Arthropoda; Insecta; Lepidoptera; Bombycidae.